AUUGAACGCUGGCGGAAUGCUUUACACAUGCAAGUCGAACGGUAGAGGGGGCAACCCCUCGAGAGUGGCGAACGGGUGAGUAAUAUAUCGGAACGUGCCCAGUCGUGGGGGAUAACGUAGCGAAGGUUACGCUAAUACCGCAUACGAUCUAAGGAUGAAAGCGGGGGAUCGCAAGACCUCGCGCGAUUGGAGCGGCCGAUAUCAGAUUAGGUAGUUGGUGGGGUAAAGGCUCACCAAGCCAACGAUCUGUAGCUGGUCUGAGAGGACGACCAGCCACACUGGAACUGAGACGCGGUCCAGACGCCUACGGGAGGCAGCAGUGGGGAAUUUUGGACAAUGGACGCAAGUCUGAUCCAGCCAUUCCGCGUGCAGGAUGAAGGCCCUCGGGUUGUAAACUGCUUUUGUACGGAACGAAAAGGUCUCUCUUAAUACGGGGGACUCAUGACGGUACCGUAAGAAUAAGCACCGGCUAACUACGUGCCAGCCGCCGCCGUAA
This 496-nucleotide ribosomal RNA is filed under the name uncultured bacterium. RNAcentral describes it as "partial 16S ribosomal RNA". It matches the Rfam family "Bacterial small subunit ribosomal RNA", at positions 30 to 523 of the family's 1533-position model. The record is from RNAcentral.